RNAcentral lists this ribosomal RNA (677 nucleotides) under uncultured Sorangium sp. RNAcentral's name for it is "bacterial SSU rRNA". It matches the Rfam family "Bacterial small subunit ribosomal RNA", at positions 8 to 667 of the family's 1533-position model. The record is from RNAcentral. Lineage: Bacteria; Pseudomonadati; Myxococcota; Polyangiales; Polyangiaceae.
AGAGUUGAUCCUGGCUCAGAGCGAACGUUAGCGCGCGCCUAACACAUGCAAGUCGCACGAGAAAGGGCCUCGGCCCCGGUACAGUGGCGCACGGGUGAGUAACACGUGGGUGACCUUCCCAGAUGUGGUGGAUAACCUGCCGAAAGGCGGGCUAAUACAGCAUACGCUGGCGGCUCUUCGGGGCCGUCAGGAAAGCAGGCCUCUCUAUAGAAGCUUGCGCAUCUGGCUGGGCCCGCGUCCCAUCAGCUAGUUGGUGAGGUAACGGCUCACCAAGGCGACGACGGGUAGCUGGUCUGAGAGGAUGGCCAGCCACACUGGAACUGAGACACGGUCCAGACUCCUACGGGAGGCAGCAGUGGGGAAUCUUGCGCAAUGGACGAAAGUCUGACGCAGCGACGCCGCGUGGGCGACGAAGGCCUUCGGGUUGUAAAGCCCUGUGGGGCGGGACGAACGGGCGUGGGGUUAACACCCCCGCGUCGUGACGGUACCGCCUUAGCAAGCACCGGCUAACUCUGUGCCAGCAGCCGCGGUAAGACAGAGGGUGCAAACGUUGCUCGGAAUUACUGGGCGUAAAGCGCGUGUAGGCGGUUACGCGAGUCAGGUGUGAAAGCCCAGGGCUCAACCCUGGAAGUGCACUUGAUACUACGUAGCUGGAGUCCUGUAGAGGAGAGCGGAAU